UGCUUCCAAGAAGAGAGAAGCUCCUAAGCCUUUGAGAGGACUCCAAUUUGGGAGCAACGGCGGUCGCCAUGGGCCGAUUCCAGAAGAAGAAGCGAAGGGGAAGGCGAUAAGGAGGAAGCAGGAAGAGGCGACGGAAACCCAGCCCUUUCUUGUCGGAUUCCGAAUUGCCGGAGAUUAAGAGGAAACUAUCGAGGUCCCUAAGCUGUGCUUCAAUCGCGCAUAGGUUCUCAGAACUAUAUUGAAGUCCAUAGCGGCUUACUUGCAAAUAACCCGCUGCGUUGCGGAAGUUGGCUUAAUAUUAGAGGGCUUG
RNAcentral lists this long non-coding RNA (310 nucleotides) under Elaeis guineensis (African oil palm). RNAcentral describes it as "long non-coding RNA (EGUI_LNC011439)". Lineage: Eukaryota; Viridiplantae; Streptophyta; Magnoliopsida; Arecales; Arecaceae. The record is from RNAcentral.